RNAcentral lists this ribosomal RNA (253 nucleotides) under uncultured bacterium. RNAcentral describes it as "partial 16S ribosomal RNA". It matches the Rfam family "Bacterial small subunit ribosomal RNA", at positions 524 to 776 of the family's 1533-position model. The record is from RNAcentral.
UACGGAGGAUCCAAGCGUUAUCCGGAUUUAUUGGGUUUAAAGGGUGCGCAGGCGGAGUGAUAAGUCAGUGGUGAAAGCCUACAGCUUAACUGUAGAACUGCCAUUGAUACUGUCAUUCUUGAGUAUUGUUGAGGUAGGCGGAAUGUGUCAUGUAGCGGUGAAAUGCUUAGAUAUGACACAGAACACCGAUGGCGAAGGCAGCUUACCAGGCAAUAACUGACGCUCAUGCACGAAAGCGUGGGGAUCAAACAGG